CACGGAUCCAUCAGCUCCUGGUUUCUAUCACCUGAAGAGGUGCCUGGGAACAGUCUCAGCCCCUGUUUCUGCUGAUGGUGCCCCAGGAGAAGUUGGGGUCUGUCCAGAACACCCACUAUAGGUCCACCUUGUGUUCUUCAUGCUCCGAAGACCACCAUGGGGACAGCAAAAAAACCCAACUCUGUAACCCGUUACUCAUUAAAAGCACGAUUUGUGUUUGCUUCUGAGGCAACCAGAGACUGAAAAGCUGUUUUUGUUUAAAAAAUAGUAUCUCGUCAUUUGGGCCCAAUAAAUAACUAAAAGAACAAAGCUUGAUCUUCAUUUUUACCUGUUUCUUUUAUUACCUUCAAACUUUGGGUGAAAUCCUUGCUCAGCCCUGCAUUGGCAUGUUAAUUAUUUAGGGAAUAUCUGUCUAAAGGCUGGCAAUACAAGGUUGUACUAGUCCUAAAUUUACAAAACCUAGCUUAUCCUGUCUCAAGAUAAGGGAUUUACAAGGUCAUUUAACUACAAAUGAGUACCCAGAAAUCUCCAGCAUUGCCCUAAACUACGGUCACCUUGGAUUCAGGCGGAGCCUCCACAAAACAGACUGCCACAAACAGAGAAAAUCAUCUCACAGAGGCUGGAUUAAAGGAUAAGGUCUUCUACGAGCCACCUUGCAAAAACAGGUUCUUGCUAAAGUGCUACAUUGGCCGGGCUAGGCUUGAACGUUUGAUCCUCCUAACUCAGUCUCCCAGAGUGCUGGGGUUACAGGCAUGCACCAGCAUGCCCACCUUGGAAAUUCUUCUGUGAUGAUGAGUCAAGAACCUACUCCACAGGUGCCCGUCUGCCAUGUCACCCUACCUGGGAGCCAGCCGAUUAUGUACUGAAACCUCUACAAACUG
Non-coding RNA from Heterocephalus glaber (naked mole-rat), 881 nucleotides. Lineage: Eukaryota; Metazoa; Chordata; Mammalia; Rodentia; Bathyergidae. The record is from RefSeq and is a predicted model, not a curated record.